GGAAGACUGGCCCUGAGUUAACAUCCAUGCCCACUCUACGUUAUAUGUGGGAUACGUGCCACAGCAUGGCUGGCUAAGUGGUGCAUAGGUCCACACCUGGGAUCUGAACCAGGGAACCCUGGGCCACUGAAGUGGACUAUGUGAACUUAACCACUGUGCCGCCGGGCUGGCCCCCAACUUUUCUUUUUUUGAUUUAGCUGAAGAUAGUAUUUAAGCCUGAAACCUAAGCCACCUCCUUCAGAGUUACUGAUUUUUCCCUGGGUAUCUUUCAUGAAUGCAGAUGCAUAUUAAAAAACUUCUUUGUUUUUCUCUUAUUAAUCUGUCUUUUGUUACAGGGGCCCCAGCCGAGAACUUAAAACGAUAGAGGAAAAACGUAUUUUUCCUUUCCUCAAAUAUGAAUUUUUUUUUGUGAAGAUUAGCCCUGAGCUAACAUCUGCUGCCGAUCCUCUUUUUGCUGAGGAAGACUGGCCCUGAGCUAACAUCCAUGCCCAUCUUCCUCUACUUUAUAUGUGGGACGCCUACCACAGCAUGGCGUGCCAAGUGGUGCUGUGUCCGCAGCAGGGAUCUGAACCAGCAAACCCUGGGCCGCCGAAGCAGAACAUGAGAACUUAAUGCUGUGCCACUGGGCCGGCCCCUACAAUAUGAAUUUUGGGGGAGACAUUCAGUCUGUAAUACCCUGGUUAUGAAAUUUUAUUUAUUACAAAUAUAUUAGCUCAGGUCUAGGCAAUAAAUGAAGUCUUAGUCUCUUAGAAUUGUUUGGUAAAAUGUGAGUGAGUGGGGGAGAAAGAUGGUGUCAUACCAUCAUGAUCCUCCUUGUAUUACAUGAUUUUUAAAAUGAUGUUACUCUUUCUCCUACAAGGAUUUAAUGAGCGAGGACAUUUUUGUAAGUACACUAUCCUUCCCAUUCAUUAUCUACUCAUCACAUAAAAUCAAAUUUGGCACUAUCGUUUCUCCACCUCGGUUCUAAUAUACAUUUUAUGAAUCAUAGUUCAUCUGACUGUGUGUCACGGAUGAAGAUUUAGGAGAUGAGUUUUGUACUGCCAGUGAUGGUCACUGGGAGAAGCAUGACUUGGGAGUUUAUUCCAUUUUGGCAGGACCAGACAUGUCUCUAUAGCCUUGGUGUGAGGUGACGGAGGGGUUAGCCAGGGCAACAGAAGUACUUCCCAUCCCAGAGUCAAGGGUUUUGGGGGUACAGAAGGGGAAAAUAUCUCUGAUUAAUUCAUGCCUACGUGUAUUAUUAGGUGCACUGAGGUUGGAGUAGGUUUAGGGCCGUCCUUAGGUGAUGGGAAGGCGUGAGAUCAGAUGCAUGAACAUGUCAUGUGAACAAGUGAAGCAAGUGCACAUUCGCUUAUAUAAUUAAUGUGUGCGAUGAGUGCUGUGCUGCACAGACAGAGCUGGGCGGAGCUGGAGGGAGCCCACGGGCUUGCAUGUGGGAAGCCCAGGCUUUAGCAAAGAAACAGCCCAUCCGCAGACUCCUUCAGACUGCCAGCUCAUGCUCAGCGGUGUUACAAGAUAAACUGAGGCACAUUAACAUUUUGAAGAGUUUGAGAAACAUUCAUUCCAGUUGGACAGCGCCAAACCGGAAGUGGUUAGGAGACCUUCACUGACAGGAGCUAGGGGCAAGACUUUUGUAGAACAGAUGCAGAAGCAAAGCAAGGAAAUUACUUGAUUUGGCUAUUGCCUUCACCCUAUUUGGGAAAGCCUUGUUGGCUGUUUAUGAUUGGUUGUCUCUAGGCUUUGAUUUCACAACCUAGACGCAUUUACAGGCCUAGGUUUUGGUUUGCUUAUGUAGGCUGCCAAGGGAUUAGAGCCACCUCAGUCUAAUGGCCUCCUUGUUUAAUUAAUUUAACAAAGAUCAGAUCCUCUCCACACAGGCAUGCCUCACACAGAGGUCAAGUGAGAAACUAGAGAAUUGCUUGGAAAAUACCCCUAUCUCCAUCCCUCUUCUGAGCCUCCUGUUUCUGGUCAAAUGUCAUGUAAGGAAAGGAUUGAUUCUUCGUGUUGACUGGCUAAAGUGGUCCUGCUAGGAAUCGAGGGGGAAAGUAUAAGAUUACUUAACAAGAUAUCUUCUUGGAAGCCCUCUGAUAUUAUGGUCACCUAACCCUUCUGUAAAUUGCCUUUGUUUAACUCUUUCUCUCAACCUAUAGGUCUUGCCCAAUAAACCAGGGCAAGUACGAAGUAUACAGUUAUGAAAACAAAUGCAAAACCUACUUUCCAGCCUCUACUUUCUUUGAGGAUUCUGAUUUAAAAACAAUAGGAGGGGCCAGCCCUGUGGCCAAGUGGUUAAGUUCGUAUGCUCUGUUUCAGCGGCCUGGGGUUUGUUGGUUCAGAUCUCAGGUGCGGACCUACACACCACUUAUCAAGCCAUGCUGUGGUGGCACCCCACAGAGAAGAACUAGAAUGACUUACAACUAGGAUAUGCAACAAUGUACUGGGGCUUUGGGGAGAAAAAAAGAAGAAGAUUGGCAACAGAUGUUAGCUCAGGGCUAAUCUACCUCACUAAAAAGCAUUAAAAAAAAAGAUAGUAAUAAAAUUCUUUACAUAUUAAAAACAAAGUGUUUUUAACCUUCUAUACCUUUAUGCUUCCAAUUCUUUUUCAGACUGAAUUCUCUCUACAAACACAUGAUUGCUUAAUACCAGUGUCUGAGUUCCCUGUAAUUUCCAGAUCUCUGGGUUUCAUUGUUAAAUAGCACUGUCCAAUAUGGUAGCCACUAGUCAGUGGCUGUUGAGCACUUGAAAUGUGGCUGGUCUGACUUGAGAUGUAUUGUAAGUGUAAAAUAUGUAGUUGAUCUCAAAGACUUAGUACGUGAAAUGGACAGAUUCUAAGAUGCCUCACACCCUUGUGGAAUCUCCUCCCUUUUGAAUGAGUGUGGGACCUGUGACUUGCUUUUAACCAAUAGAAUAUGGCAAAGAUGAUAGGAUGUCAAGUCCACAGUUAUGUUAUAUAGAUUGUAACUGUCAUCUUGCUAACAGACUCUAUUGCCUCUCCUUUUCUGGCUUUGAUGGAGAGACCCGUGUGGCAAGGAACUGAGAGUGGAUUCCAGCUGACAGCCAGCAGCAAGGUGAGACCUCUAGUCUGAUAACUCACAAAGAACUGAAUCCUGCCUUCAACCAUGUGGUCUUGGAAGAGGAUCUUACCCUAUUGCAGUCUCAGGUGAGAUUCCAGCCCUGGCUGACACCUUGACUGCAGCCUUGUGAGAGACCUUGAAGCAGAGGACCCACUACUAGAACAUUGAAAAUUUAAAAUAUGUGGCUUGCCUUAUAUUUAUAUUGGACAGCAUUGGCAUCGAACUUCAAGGAGACAAGAAUUUCCUGUAGCUCAUGUGGCCCAGCAUGCCGGAGGGAGGUGGUUGUUACAUCACUCUGUCGCUUACCGGGGCAUGCUAUUCAAACAGAAAAUAGUCUAUCACUUCUGGAAGAAAAUGAUUCACCUUUUUUGAAGAUGGGGGAAGCGAUUGUAUAAUUUUUGCCCAAAGGUGAAAUCUGCUCAAGUCUUCUACUUUCAGAUGCUGCCUUCAGGGUUUAAUUUGUUUCAGAUUAACAGCAGGUGGCAGAUGCAAUUAAACGG
This 3568-nucleotide long non-coding RNA is filed under the name Equus asinus (donkey). Its description in RNAcentral is "lncRNA (ENSEASG00005036375.1)". The record is from RNAcentral. Lineage: Eukaryota; Metazoa; Chordata; Mammalia; Perissodactyla; Equidae.